Schistosoma haematobium is the source of this 45-nucleotide non-coding RNA. NCBI's taxonomy places the organism in Eukaryota, Metazoa, Platyhelminthes, Trematoda, Strigeidida, Schistosomatidae. The record is from Rfam.
AUACAGAUGACGUGUCCCAAAUAGGAUGAAACGUAUGUCCUAGAU